GGAACACUUGGCAGUGGUAGAGCGCCAGCACGUACUGCAGCGCCAGGUCCAGCGCCCCUGGCGCCACCGCGACCCCCGCCCCGCCGCCCAGGCUGAGUAGUAGCGCCUGGCCCGCUAGGGUCUGCAGCCCCACGUGGGCCGAGGGGUAGAGGAGGAAAUUGAAGACGAAGGCGUUGGGACAGCGCCGCUGCUGCAGGAUGGUGUUUCCCUUCCUGUUUGCUGAUCCACUGGGGCUGUCCCAGAAAGAGAACUACAACGCUACUCUUUCCCAUGCCUUGCUUGUCCACAGACAGGGUCUUGCUGUGUUGUCCAGGUUUGAUGGAGUGCGGUGGUGCAAUCCUGGCUCACUAUAACCUCUACCUCCUGGGCUCAAGGGAUAGUCUCAUCUUAGUUUCCUGAGUAGCUGGGACUACAGGUCAUAGGAAAUGAAACAGACUGCUGUUUUCAUGAGAAGCAUUUACAGAGGGAAAUAAGGACACUCACCAAAUAGGGCUAAUUUGAAGAAGGACACAGCUGACUUAGUAGGAAGAAGGCAGAAGAAUUAUCUCCUGGUAAUCAAGACUCUGAAAAUAAGACUUAAGAUAAAAGACUGGAUACAUGCAAGAACAGAGUUCUUAAAGAUCACCAGCUGAAGAUUGUGAUUUUUCAUUCUUCUAUGCCCUAAGACAGCCAUAUUUUACCAUUUGAAACAUAAAUAAAAAUGACUUCCAGGCUUAUUUGAUUACAGACUGAAUUGCUCUAUCAUAGGAUGACAAGCAAUGACAGAUAGGUUCCCCAUAAAGAAAAGUCUGUGAGACUCCAUAUUUCCUGUAAAAGAUGAUAUGAGGAAACCGGGCAGAUUUUUCUUUCAUUCAUACUCUUUUAUAUGGGGGCAAUAGUACUGUCAAUCUCUAUUAUAUCAUUAGGUUACCUGGAAGGUCUUAUGUUUGGCAGUGGAAUGUAAGUUUUAGGGUAAUUUUUCUGAGUGGCAACCCAAGGCCAAUGUAGUAAAUUUUGAAAGAUCAAUUAAAUUACAGAAAAGGCUUGCAUAACAUAAAUGUGUUCUGCCCACUUGUCAACAUGGGUAAAGAUAUUAAUAUUGUAACAAGUGCAAUGACAGAAUUUCAUUUUCAGACUCCAGACUUCUUAACAGUAGCAGUGGCAAGGCAUCAAACCAUGACCUGUUCUCGAGCCUAAGAAUCUCUUGGGCCACCCAGCCCCACAGAGGCCAGUAGGAGGUCAACUCUCCACCUCCCUAAAAAAAAAAAAAACGAGUGUGCGAGAAGUAUGUUGUAAUUGAAGUAGCAUACUGCCUGACACCCAAGAGGUUGCUCUGUAAGUGAAUUGCCUUUCACCUCCUGCCAUGAUUCUGAGGCCCCCAGCCAUGUGGAACUGGAGAAGGGAGAUGAAAUAAUACCAGCAUCCUGAACCUGAAUGUCCAGCUUCGCCUUGUUCUUUGUGGAUUAUAAGACCAUUGAUUAAAUAAAUCCUUUCAUCAAAAUUAUCUUAAAAAAGAAACUACCAUCUAAAUCCAGUUAUUCCAUCUGACUUGGUAGCAGUGAUGUUUGGAGUUUAGGACCUAAAGGUGAAAUGGUAGGGGAAAAUCUGGGUGCUCGGAAAGACACCAGAAGCAC
RNAcentral lists this long non-coding RNA (1613 nucleotides) under Homo sapiens (human). RNAcentral describes it as "novel transcript". Lineage: Eukaryota; Metazoa; Chordata; Mammalia; Primates; Hominidae. The record is from RNAcentral.